AUGGAAGGAGUCAUUUGGUUUACUUGGGUUUACUGUCGCCACUCGCGACUUCCCAGUUGUAAGAACACCAGAGGAAGCCUUUACUUUUACUCCAUCACCAUCAUUUUUUUUUUAAACAAAACAAAAAAUCAUUCUAAGGCAAUAAUUUUUGUAAUUUAA
Molecule: non-coding RNA, 159 nt
Organism: Vicia faba (fava bean)
Lineage: Eukaryota; Viridiplantae; Streptophyta; Magnoliopsida; Fabales; Fabaceae
Source: the annotation of a GenBank genome assembly